CAAAAACAUCGCCUCUUGCAAAAUCAAUGAAUAAGAGGUCCCGCCUGCCCUGUGACUCUAAGUUUAACGGCCGCGGUAUUUUGACCGUGCGAAGGUAGCGCAAUCACUUGUCUUUUAAAUGGAGACCUGUAUGAAUGGCAUAACGAGGGCUUAGCUGUCUCCUCUUUCAAGUCAAUGAAAUUGAUCUCCCCGUGCAGAAGCGGGGAUACGUACAUAAGACGAGAAGACCCUAUGGAGCUUUAGACACCAAGGCAGCCCAUGUUAAAAACUCUUAAACAAAAGACCAAACCAAAUGAAACCUGCCCUAAUGUCUUUGGUUGGGGCGACCGCGGGGAAACACAAAACCCCCACGUGGAAUGAGAACACCUCCUCUCACAACUAAGAGCUCCCGCUCUAAUAAACAGAAAUUCUGACCAAUUAGAUCCGGCAUAAGCCGAUCAACGGACCGAGUUACCCUAGGGAUAACAGCGCAAUCCCCUUUUAGAGGCCAUAUCGACAAGGGGGUUUACGACCUCGAUGUUGGAUCAGGACAUCCUAAUGGUGCAGCCGCUAUUAAGGGUUCGUUUGUUCAACGAUUAAAGUCCUACGUGAUCUGA
RNAcentral lists this ribosomal RNA (596 nucleotides) under Pterocaesio marri (Marr's fusilier). RNAcentral describes it as "partial 16S ribosomal RNA". It matches the Rfam family "Bacterial large subunit ribosomal RNA", at positions 1808 to 2608 of the family's 2925-position model. The record is from RNAcentral. Lineage: Eukaryota; Metazoa; Chordata; Actinopteri; Lutjaniformes; Lutjanidae.